Molecule: ribosomal RNA, 459 nt
Filed under: uncultured Lactobacillus sp.
Lineage: Bacteria; Bacillati; Bacillota; Bacilli; Lactobacillales; Lactobacillaceae
Description: partial 16S ribosomal RNA
Rfam family: Bacterial small subunit ribosomal RNA
Source: RNAcentral
CCGGAAGGCAGCAGUAGGGAAUCUUCCACAAUGGACGCAAGUCUGAUGGAGCAACGCCGCGUGAAUGAAGAAGGCCUUCGGGUCGUAAAAUUCUGUUGUUAGAGAAGAACAUGCAGGAGAGUAACUGUUCUUGUAUUGACGGUAUCUAGCCAGAAAGCCACGGCUAACUACGUGCCAGCAGCCGCGGUAAUACGUAGGUGGCAAGCGUUGUCCGGAUUUAUUGGGCGUAAAGGGAACGCAGGCGGUUUUUUAAGUCUGAUGUGAAAGCCUUCGGCUCAACCGAAGAAUUGCAUUGGAAACUGGAAGACUUGAGUGCAGAAGAGGAGAGUGGAACUCCAUGUGUAGCGGUGGAAUGCGUAGAUAUUAGGAGGAACAUCAGUGGCGAAGGCGGCUUACUGGGCUUUAACUGACGCUGAGGCUCGAAAGCGUGGGGAGCAAACAGGAUUAGAUACCCUGGUA